AUUGAACGCUAGCGGCAGGCUUUACACAUGCAAGUCGAACGGAGUGGCGGACGGGUGAGUAAUAUAUCGGAACGUGCCUAGUAGCGGGGGAUAACUACUCGAAAGAGUUGCUAAUACCGCCUACAUUAGGAUCGGCCGAUAUCGGAUUAGCUAGUUGGUGGGGUAAAGGCUCACCAAGACCACGAUCCGUAGCUGGUUUGAGAGGAUGACCAGCCACACUGGGACUGAGACACGGCCCAGACUCCUACGGGAGGCAGCAGUGGGGAAUUUUGGACAAUGGGGGAAACCCUGAUCCAGCCAUCCCGCGUGUAUGAUGAAGGCCUUCGGGUUGUAAAGUACUUUUGGCAGAGAAGCGUUAUCUGCAGAAUAAGCACCGGCUAACUACGUGCCAGCAGCCGCGGUAAUUC
RNAcentral lists this ribosomal RNA (407 nucleotides) under uncultured bacterium. RNAcentral's name for it is "partial 16S ribosomal RNA". It matches the Rfam family "Bacterial small subunit ribosomal RNA", at positions 30 to 526 of the family's 1533-position model. The record is from RNAcentral.